RNAcentral lists this unclassified non-coding RNA (279 nucleotides) under plant metagenome. RNAcentral's name for it is "partial contains small subunit ribosomal RNA, internal transcribed spacer 1, and 5.8S ribosomal RNA". The record is from RNAcentral.
UUUCCGUAGGUGAACCUGCGGAAGGAUCAUUAUUGUAUAAUCGAGGCGUGAGGGCUGACGCUGACCCGAGAGGUUGUGCACGCCCGAGUGCCCUCACACACAUGCAUCACAUCCCUAUGUGCACCACCGUGUGGGUCCCGUUUUGGCUUGUUUGGUGGCGGGUUUACGUUUUCACACAAAUAUUGUAUGCAGUGUAGAAUGUAUUUUUUGUUUUUUCGAUGUCGCAAUCAAUAAACAUUUCAACAACGGAAACCUUAGUUCUCGCAUCGAUGAAGAAAU